CCAACAGGGAUUGCCUUAGUAACGGCGAGUGAAGCGGCAACAGCUCAAAUUUGAAAGCUGGCUCUUUCAGGGUCCGCGUUGUAAUUUGUAGAGGAUGAUUCGGCGAGGGCUCCCGCCUAAGUCCCCUGGAACGGGGCGUCAUAGAGGGUGAGAAUCCCGUAUGCGGUGGGCUGCCUUAGCCAUGUGAAUCUCCUUCGACGAGUCGAGUUGUUUGGGAAUGCAGCUCUAAAUGGGAGGUAAAUUUCUUCUAAAGCUAAAUACCGGCCAGAGACCGAUAGCGCACAAGUAGAGUGAUCGAAAGAUGAAAAGCACUUUGGAAAGAGAGUUAAAAAGUACGUGAAAUUGUUGAAAGGGAAGCGCUUGCAACCAGACUUGUCCGCAGUUGCUCAGCCGGUCUCCUGACCGGCGUACUCUUCUGCGGCCAGGCCAGCAUCAGUUCGGGCGGUCGGAUAAAGACCUCGGGAAUGUAGCUCCUCUCGGGGAGUGUUAUAGCCCGGGGUGGAAUGCGGCCAGCCUGGACUGAGGAUCUCGCUUCGGCAAGGAUGCUGGCGUAAUGGUUGUAAGCGGCCCGUCUUGAAACACGGACCAAGGAGUCUAACAUCUAUGCGAGUGUUUGGGUGUCAAACCCAUACGCGUAAUGAAAGUGAACGGAGGUGGGAACCCUCACGGGUGCACCAUCGGCCGAUCCUGAUGUCUUCGGAUGGAUUUGAGCAAGAGCAUAGCUGUUGGGACCCGAAAGAUGGUGAACUAUGCCUGAAUAGGGUGAAGCCAGAGGAAACUCUGGUGGAGGCUCGCAGCGGUUCUGACGUGCAAAUCGAUCGUCAAAUUUGGGUAUAGGGGCGAAAGACUAAUCGAACC
This 858-nucleotide ribosomal RNA is filed under the name Tiarosporella corymbiae. RNAcentral describes it as "eukaryotic LSU rRNA". It matches the Rfam family "Eukaryotic large subunit ribosomal RNA", at positions 65 to 941 of the family's 3401-position model. The record is from RNAcentral. Lineage: Eukaryota; Fungi; Ascomycota; Dothideomycetes; Botryosphaeriales; Botryosphaeriaceae.